This 94-nucleotide non-coding RNA is filed under the name Agrilactobacillus composti. Its description in RNAcentral is "Lactobacillus composti TPP sequence". It matches the Rfam family "TPP riboswitch aptamer (THI element)". From Rfam's summary of the family: Vitamin B(1) in its active form thiamin pyrophosphate (TPP) is an essential coenzyme that is synthesised by coupling of pyrimidine and thiazole moieties in bacteria. Lineage: Bacteria; Bacillati; Bacillota; Bacilli; Lactobacillales; Lactobacillaceae. The record is from RNAcentral. RNAcentral also lists the same sequence under 1 other name.
AUAAUUCGUCUGGGGUGCCGACAUUCGGCUGAGAUUAUACCCAUCGAACCUGAUGUAGUUUGUACUGCCGAAGGAAGCGCGAGUGGGUCGUAUU